UGACGUUAUUCGAUCCAUGACAUAAUUUGAAAUUACAUAUUUAAAUCGAGUCUAAGUAAAUCAUUAAAAUAAUUCUCGAAGAAAAAAUAUAUUGAUAAAAACAAACAUGUUUACGCCUCAAGCGGAAUAGUGGCCCUACAAAGCGAAUUUUAAGUGUGCUAUUAUUGGUACUAAUUAUUUAAUAAAACAAAUUAAACAAGAUUAAUUUUUGAUAUGUUGUAUCACUUGUAUCCUAUAUAUUUCUGAUAAUUAAAGAAACAUAUAACUUAAACCCAUAAAUGAAGGAUUAAAACAUGCUUAAAACGAUUUUGAUCAUUAGAGAAACAUAGCCAAAAAAAAAAACUUAGUUCUCUUCUAUUCACCCUUCAUCGAUAUAUAUGAUAUCAAAAAAACAUGUAUCUGAUAUCAUAUAUGCACUAAUAUAUUCAAGAAAUAAGAAGAUAUACAGUUCAGAUGGCCUAAUCUUUUUCGAAUCCAACAAGUGCUAUCAGAGCACAUGGUUCAAUGAUUUAAUGAAACAAAGUUAAAGAUGUCAUAUCCUGAGCAUGACUAGCACUCGAGAACCAUCGUUGGUCCACAAGCUAACCGUUUGUCCGGCUCAAUACUCAGUGAAAAAGUUACUCAUCGAAAUAAGAACUCAAAACAGUCUAACUCUAUUGUCUCAAACAAUUAACUCAAAAUAUUUAUUAUUUCUCUAUUUGUCAUAAGAAGGCAACUCAAGUCUUAAGCAUUACUAAAGGAAAUGGAAAAGACUCUUCAAAAUACUACUAUCUAUGAAGCCUCUAAUAACUAUGAUAAAAGUCGGGACAAGAUACACAACAUCCUAACAAGAUUGAAAGUAAAUGUGGAACCCUCCGAAAGCAAGAAGGUUUAUUGAAGCUAAUUGAGACUGCGGGUGAUAUUAACGGAGCACAUGUUGAUGACCCUAAAUAUCUAUAUCUGCAUCAUGAAAAAAAGCAGGUCAAAAGCACCACUACAUUAAAUGUAUGAGCAUGUAAGUGAAACACUGAAAAUCAACAUACAACUUGAAUUGAUAGAAAGAAAGACAUACUAACCUCAUUUUAACUCAA
This is a non-coding RNA of Solanum lycopersicum (tomato), 1070 nucleotides long. Lineage: Eukaryota; Viridiplantae; Streptophyta; Magnoliopsida; Solanales; Solanaceae. The record is from RefSeq and is a predicted model, not a curated record.